This is a regulatory RNA element of Synechococcus sp. RS9916, 63 nucleotides long. It matches the Rfam family "Glutamine-II riboswitch aptamer". Rfam says of the family: The major groove of the PK provides the binding site for L-glutamine Lineage: Bacteria; Bacillati; Cyanobacteriota; Cyanophyceae; Synechococcales; Synechococcaceae. The record is from Rfam.
CAACGUUCACCUCCCUUUGCCGGGAGGCGCAGUUCGAUUCAGGCCAUGGAACGGGGACCUGAA